RNAcentral lists this long non-coding RNA (214 nucleotides) under Olea europaea subsp. europaea. Lineage: Eukaryota; Viridiplantae; Streptophyta; Magnoliopsida; Lamiales; Oleaceae. The record is from RNAcentral.
CCUUAUUUGAGUCCUAUUCUUUGAAAAAAAUACAUUUUUUAACAGUAUUUUAAUUUUAUUUCAACCACAUAUUCUUUAAUGAAAUAAUAUUACACGCAAAUACAAAAUUUUUCCUUAUUUUUUAACCACGUAUUUCUCAUCAAUACAUUAUUCAAAAAUUCAUUCUUUUCCCCAAAAUGGGACUCAAACAAGGGCUAAAUUCCAUAAAUAUUCA